UGCAUGUAGUAUAGUGUCAGAAUGAAAAUUACAACCUUAAAUGCCCAUUGUGACACAUAUGGAACUAUUUUCAAUAAUUUACUGUACUGUGCUGUUGCCUGGUGGCAGUUAUGUGAACUACAGCCAGUGAGCAGAUCUACCAUACACAGUAAACACCAAUUCUUCAUAACCUCUAAGUCUUCAUACCUGUAUUUAGCAGAAAAAAAAUGUCACAUUGUCGACUAAGAAGACAUAACAACACAACUUCGCUUUUACCCCCCGAUGACAGUGAAGACAGUUUGGUGGAUGACUCAGAUGAGGAUCCAGAUUACACCC
This 315-nucleotide long non-coding RNA is filed under the name Homalodisca vitripennis (glassy-winged sharpshooter). RNAcentral describes it as "uncharacterized LOC124358701". The record is from RNAcentral. Lineage: Eukaryota; Metazoa; Arthropoda; Insecta; Hemiptera; Cicadellidae.